GAAAGUGCUGUACAAAUUGAUCUCUAGGAAGCUUUUGAGUAUCCUCUUGAUGAAUCUAUAAAUUUGGUAUCACUCUACUCACUCUAUAUAGUAUUAGAUACACGAAAAUGAUUUUCUCUUCUUUUAUGUGAAUCAUAAAUCUCUAAAAGUCUUUGAAUGAGACUAGUGAGGGCAACAUCUUGAGUUCUAAAAGUCUUUGAAUGAGACUAGUGAGGGCCCA
Molecule: long non-coding RNA, 220 nt
Filed under: Musa acuminata (dwarf banana)
Lineage: Eukaryota; Viridiplantae; Streptophyta; Magnoliopsida; Zingiberales; Musaceae
Description: long non-coding RNA (MACU_LNC007739)
Source: RNAcentral